RNAcentral lists this ribosomal RNA (872 nucleotides) under Microhyla annectens (brown narrow-mouthed frog). Its description in RNAcentral is "partial large subunit ribosomal RNA". It matches the Rfam family "Bacterial large subunit ribosomal RNA", at positions 1110 to 2574 of the family's 2925-position model. The record is from RNAcentral. Lineage: Eukaryota; Metazoa; Chordata; Amphibia; Anura; Microhylidae.
AAGCAGCCACCUUCCAAAAAAGCGUUAAAGCUUUAUUAUAAUUACAUCUGAAUACCCCAUUCUUAUCAAAACCCUCCAACCAUACUGAAUGACUUCAUACCCCUAUGAAGGACCAUAUGCUAAAACUAGUAACAAGAAGAAGACCUUCUCCAAAAUGUAAGCGUAAGUCAUAAUGAACAAUUCACUGACACUUAACGUCUAUGAGCCUACAGUGGCAACCCGCAUCAAGAAAACCCCACUUUUCAUCACGUUAACCUUACACUAGAACAUUUACGGAAAGAUUAAAAGAGGAAGAAGGAACUCGGCAAACUACUAACCCCGCCUGUUUACCAAAAACAUCGCCUCCUGACUAACCAUAGGAGGUCCAGCCUGCCCAGUGACCCAGUUAAACGGCCGCGGUACCCUAACCGUGCAAAGGUAGCACAAUCACUUGUUCUUUAAAUGAGGACUAGUAUGAAUGGCAUCACGAGGGUUAUACUGUCUCCCCCCUCUAAUCAGUGAAACUGAUCUCCCCGUGAAGAAGCGGGGAUAUUAUUAUAAGACGAGAAGACCCCAUGGAGCUUUAAACUCAGUAUCACCUGCCAACCACUCCAGCCUAUUAACCACGCAGUUCUGACUACUAGUUUUCGGUUGGGGUGACCGCGGAGUAAAAUAAAACCUCCUCGAUGAAUGGAGCUAACCUCCUUAUCCAAGAGCCACAACUCUAAGAAUCAAAUCAUUGACAAAAAUUGAUCCAAUUUAUAUUGAUCAACGAACCAAGUUACCCUGGGGAUAACAGCGCAAUCUACUUCAAGAGCUCCUAUCGACAAGUGGGUUUACGACCUCGAUGUUGGAUCAGGGUAUCCCAGUGGCGCAGCCGCUACUAAAGGUUC